This 916-nucleotide ribosomal RNA is filed under the name uncultured organism. RNAcentral describes it as "bacterial SSU rRNA". It matches the Rfam family "Bacterial small subunit ribosomal RNA", at positions 38 to 950 of the family's 1533-position model. The record is from RNAcentral.
GGCGGCAGGCCUAACACAUGCAAGUCGAGCGCGAAAGAUCUUCGGAUUGAGUAGAGCGGCGGACGGGUGAGUAACGCGUAGGAAUCUACCUGGUAGUGGGGGACAACUCGGGGAAACUCGAGCUAAUACCGCAUACGCCCUGAGGGGGAAAGCGGGGGAUCUUCGGACCUCGCGCUAUCGGAUGAGCCUGCGUUGGAUUAGCUAGUUGGUGGGGUAAGAGCCUACCAAGGCUGCGAUCCAUAGCUGGUCUGAGAGGAUGAUCAGCCACACCGGGACUGAGACACGGCCCGGACUCCUACGGGAGGCAGCAGUGGGGAAUAUUGCGCAAUGGGCGGAAGCCUGACGCAGCCAUGCCGCGUGUGUGAAGAAGGCCUUCGGGUUGUAAAGCACUUUCACUAGGGAAGAAACGCUGUCGGUUAAUACCCGCCAGUUUUGACAUUACCUUGAGAAGAAGCACCGGCUAACUCCGUGCCAGCAGCCGCGGUAAUACGGAGGGUGCGAGCGUUAAUCGGAAUUACUGGGCGCAAAGCGCGCGUAGGCGGUUUGUUAAGUCGGAUGUGAAAGCCCCGGGCUCAACCUGGGAAUUGCACCCGAUACUGGCCGACUGGAGUGCGAGAGAGGGAGGUAGAAUUCCACGUGUAGCGGUGAAAUGCGUAGAUAUGUGGAGGAAUACCGGUGGCGAAGGCGGCCUCCUGGCUCGACACUGACGCUGAGGUGCGAAAGCGUGGGGAGCAAACAGGACUAGAUACCCUGGUAGUCCACGCCGUAAACGAUGUCGACUAGCCGUUGGGGAACCUUGAGUCCUUGGUGGCGCAGUUAACGCGAUAAGUCGACCGCCUGGGGAGUACGGCCGCAAGGUUAAAACUCAAAUGAAUUGACGGGGGCCCGCACAAAGCGGUGGAGCAUGUGGUUUAAU